RNAcentral lists this transfer RNA (77 nucleotides) under Acholeplasmataceae bacterium. RNAcentral's name for it is "tRNA-Arg". It matches the Rfam family "tRNA". Rfam says of the family: Transfer RNA (tRNA) molecules are approximately 80 nucleotides in length. Their secondary structure includes four short double-helical elements and three loops (D, anti-codon, and T loops). Further hydrogen bonds mediate the characteristic L-shaped molecular structure. tRNAs have two regions of fundamental functional importance: the anti-codon, which is responsible for specific mRNA codon recognition, and the 3' end, to which the tRNAs corresponding amino acid is attached (by aminoacyl-tRNA synthetases). tRNAs cope with the degeneracy of the genetic code in two manners: having more than one tRNA (with a specific anti-codon) for a particular amino acid; and 'wobble' base-pairing, i.e. permitting non-standard base-pairing at the 3rd anti-codon position. RNAcentral also lists the same sequence under 2 other names. The record is from RNAcentral. Lineage: Bacteria; Bacillati; Mycoplasmatota; Mollicutes; Acholeplasmatales; Acholeplasmataceae.
GCGCUCGUAGCUCAGUUGAAUAGAGCAAGACUCUCCUAAAGUCUAGGUCGAAGGUUUGAAUCCUUUCGGGCGCGCCA